This 328-nucleotide ribosomal RNA is filed under the name Gibbsiella quercinecans. Its description in RNAcentral is "bacterial SSU rRNA". It matches the Rfam family "Bacterial small subunit ribosomal RNA", at positions 1 to 323 of the family's 1533-position model. Lineage: Bacteria; Pseudomonadati; Pseudomonadota; Gammaproteobacteria; Enterobacterales; Yersiniaceae. The record is from RNAcentral.
UUUAAUUGAAGAGUUUGAUCAUGGCUCAGAUUGAACGCUGGCGGCAGGCCUAACACAUGCAAGUCGAGCGGCAGCGGGAGGAAGCUUGCUUCCUCGCCGGCGAGCGGCGGACGGGUGAGUAAUGUCUGGGAAACUGCCCGAUGGAGGGGGAUAACUACUGGAAACGGUAGCUAAUACCGCAUAACGUCGCAAGACCAAAGUGGGGGACCUUAGGGCCUCACACCAUCGGAUGUGCCCAGAUGGGAUUAGCUAGUAGGUGGGGUAAUGGCUCACCUAGGCGACGAUCCCUAGCUGGUCUGAGAGGAUGACCAGCCACACUGGAACUGAG